UGUUGGGAUACCACCCUUGCAGUACUGGGUUUCUAACCAGCGGCCUUAAUCAGGUCGGGGGACAAUGUCAGGUGGGGAGUUUGACUGGGGCGGUCGCCUCCGAAAGGGUAUCGGAGGCGCUCAAAGGUUCCCUCAGAAUGGUCGGAAACCAUUCGAAGAGUGCAAAGGCAGAAGGGAGCUUGACUGCGACACCGACGGGUGGAGCAGGUACGAAAGUAGGACUUAGUGAUCCGGUGGUAUAAAGUGGGAUUGCCAUCGCUCAACGGAUAAAAGCUACCCUGGGGAUAACAGGCUUAUCACUCCCAAGAGUUCACAUCGACGGAGUGGUUUGGCACCUCGAUGUCGGCUCAUCGCAUCCUGGGGCUGAAGUAGGUCCCAAGGGUUGGGCUGUUCGCCCAUUAAAGCGGUACGCGAGCUGGGUUCAGAACGUCGUGAGACAGUUCGGUCCCUAUCCGGCGUGGGCGUAGGAUAUUUGAGAGGAGCUGUCCUUAGUACGAGAGGACCGGGAUGGACUGGCCGCUGGUUGAUCUGUUGUUCCGCCAGGAGCAUAGCAGAGUAGCCAAGCCGGGACGGGAUAAACGCUGAAGGCAUCUAAGCGUGAAGCCCCCCUCAAGAUGAGAUAUCCCAACGAAAGUUGUAAGACCCCUUGAAGACGACGAGGUAGAUAGGACAGAGGUGGAAGUGUGGUAACACAUGGAGCUGACUGUUACUAAUAGGUCGAGGGCAUAACCAAG
Molecule: ribosomal RNA, 734 nt
Filed under: Dorea formicigenerans
Lineage: Bacteria; Bacillati; Bacillota; Clostridia; Lachnospirales; Lachnospiraceae
Description: partial 23S ribosomal RNA
Rfam family: Bacterial large subunit ribosomal RNA
Source: RNAcentral